This 21-nucleotide non-coding RNA is filed under the name Caenorhabditis elegans. Lineage: Eukaryota; Metazoa; Nematoda; Chromadorea; Rhabditida; Rhabditidae. The record is from RNAcentral.
UUUAUUGCUCUUCGGCCAUAU